Molecule: long non-coding RNA, 5821 nt
Filed under: Physcomitrium patens
Lineage: Eukaryota; Viridiplantae; Streptophyta; Bryopsida; Funariales; Funariaceae
Description: long non-coding RNA (PPAT_LNC003063)
Source: RNAcentral
UAUUAGAGAUUAGGGUUAGUUUUUUGCAGCCAUUCGAGCUUUAAAGGCUAAGAUCAGCAAGUUUAGGAUUUUGGCUAUGGUUUUGGUACAAAUCUUGUAUGAUUUGUAAUUUAUAUAAAGGAGAUAUAGGCGCUCAAAGUUAAUGUAUUGAUUUGGGAGCUACUGUCACUCUUUUUGACAUAACGCAUGCCUACAAAAGGCAAUUGGAAUUGGCGACUACAUCUUAAGAGAGCACUUUUGUGCCUACACUUUAUGCAUAUUUCUUGCUGGAUUCUAAGUUGAAAUGAAGGAGUUAUUGGAUUUUGAAGUCACGCAUGCAAUCUAAGGGUAGUAAGUGACCCGAUUUACUAGUGGUUGUGUCUUGAGCUAUAUCUUGAGCAAUUUCACAAGGUUUUGGUUCAAAAUUUUAAGAAAUGUGAAAUUUCAUGUAAGUAAACUUUUUACAUAAGUUUGAUGACAUUUGAGUAUUGGGUUCUUGAGAAAUUAAGAAAAUAGUACUCAAGUGCUUGUAAAUUAGGGUUUAGAGGAUCUACUAGGUUUUUUUAGAUGUUAGAAGAUCGGAAGUGAAUUUACAAUUGAUUUUUGUGUGGUAAAAGUUAAGGGUGAUUUCUACCUAUCUUAUAAAUUUGAGACAAGUUAAACAGCUAGAUCAAGAGUUAUGAAUUUCUAAAGUUCUUGAAGAGAAAACCCUUCAUGAGAAAAAUAUGUUUUGAAGAGAUUUUGUUAUAUUUUGAGUUUUAUGCAAAUCAAAAGAAUUUUGGAAGUUAAGACAAGAUUCAUAUAAAGGUUUAAGUUAAAAUCUCUAUAGCUAGAUAUCCAAUGUAUUCUUAGAUAGCAAAUCAUACCAUACGACAAACUUAGUGAACCCAAUGUGAAAAUUUCUAGUAUAGAGAAUUUUGAAGAAAUAUUUUGGCUUUCUAUUAUGGAAGGGGGAUAAGAAAGUGGUAGUAAGAAUUGCACUGGAAAAUCUCCAUUGCAACUUGAUCCUGCUACAACUCAAAUGUUUCAAGCAUUUAUACUUUUUAUGCAAUAAUAACAAGCAAAGGAAUGCAAGGAAGCAAUGGCUAGUAAACCAUUGCAUUCUGUUGUUGGUUUAUUGGAUCAAUUUGAUGGAAGAAAUAUUUCCAAGUAUCUUAAGUAUUAUUCUCAUGAGAUAGAGCUCAAUAAAGUACCAGAGAAAGAUAUGAUCCUAACAUUUGAGCUUGCAGUUGUACCAGAGCUUCGUGAGCAUUUAAUGGAAAUUAUUCAAACUCAUGGAGAAAAAUGGGAGGAUUUUAUCCUUCAACUAAAAGAAGAGUAUUCGUUGGAAGAUACAAAAAGAGUGACAAGAAAAUCGUUUAUGGAAUGGGUCAAUAAAUCCAAUAAGAAAUUAAUUGCAAUAGAGUUAUUUUGAGAAUUUGAAAGAUAAUUUCUUCAAUUAUUUUGAGUGAAAAAGCUUACACUUGAAAAUGACAAAGUGGAGUUAUUUCUUCAAUCAAUUGGCAAUGAUUUACAAAAGAAAUUAGAAUUACCAUUGGAGCAUAAUACAGAGGACAAUGGACUUACUACUAAUUGAAAGAAAGUCUUUGAAGCUGUGGACAUACUGGCUAAAAGAGAGUACCAGAGGGAUAAGGUGAUAGUAAGGCAAGAGAUUAGACCUCCACCAACUACAAUACCUCGUAGGCAACUGCCAAAACCUGUUAUACUAGUAAGUACUAUUCCAAUUCCUAUGUCUACAAUUGCACCACAGAAAGAUAUGAUUGAUGAGUUGUUAAAAGAAAUGAAAGACUUACAAAUCAAACUGACAAAGCUAGAGGAGAAAGAAGGAUUACCUGAGAGCAAAUCUGUAUCAAAGCCAGGAUAUAUGCAAAGAUGUAUUUGGUGUGAUAGUAUAGAGCAUCUUCAAAGAGAGAAUGGAGAUUUUGCUAAUAUUUUGCGAUAGGGAGUAAUUUUAUGGAAAGAUGGAAAAAUUGUGUUGCGAGAUACAAGUGAGUUUCUCAAAACCAAUUUUGGAAAAGGAAGGAUGAAGAAAGUUUUAAAAGAGCAUUUAUCUUAAUAGGCUAUAGCAUCAAGAGAGGCUAUUACUUAUGGCAUUGAGGCUAUAAGGGAGAAAGAGGAUGUUUUUGAUAAGCAUGUAAAUAUAGGAGAUCUAUCGAAUGAUGUUAUUAUCAACAUGAAUAAAAGAAAAAUAACAAGGCAAGAAUUACUUAAUACAGCCACAAUAAUUAGAAAUGCCACAAAAUUGAAUGAUCCUAUAGAUACUAUGUUUGUACAUACUUAUUUGGAAAAAUCCCAAUAUGAAGCUCUAAUGGAGGUAAAAAGGAGAAGAAAUGAAAUAGAAGAAAAUUUUGAAGAGUCAAUCAACAAGAAUCUGAAAGGCAUGUAGAAACAAUACAUAAUAAAAAAAAAUACCUAUACCACAAGCUAAUAGACAUCGAGGAUUGGGCCAUCGAAAUUGUACCCUGGAAAUAUACCAUUGCCAAAAGAGAAAUGGAAAGAAAGGAUGGAAGUUGAUAAAGACAAAGGGAAGAGUAAGCAUGUUACUUAUAAGCUACAAUCAGAUAUUGAGGCAGCCACAGAUUUGAAAAGAGUGUUGGAAGAAAGAUUAUUGAAUGCCAAAAUUGAAUUUAUUCUAUGAGAAAUUUUAGGCAUUGCAAAGAGAGAGUUUCAUGAAGUCAUCAUCGAUACCAUUAAGCGAAAGAGGUAGUUGAUAGGAGAAUCUGUUGUAUCUAAUACUUUGGAUACAAUCUUGAUAGAAGAAGAGGAACAUGAAUUGGCAGAAUGUUGUAUCAAUAAAAAGGGACAAUUUCAUUUGGAUGAAUACAAGGAUGAUGACAAGGGCCCCGGAUACUAUACCAAAGGACAUUGGACAAAAGCCACCAUAAAAACUUUAUAAAAAUGGAAGACUUAGUAGAACUAGUAAUUGCUCUUAUUGACCAUAGAUCUGAAAUUAAUAUUAUAUCAAAAGAAGUCUACAAAUGUAAAAGGUGGUCCAUUGAUAUUAACCAUGGUUGGGUGAUUCGGACAGCAAAUAAUAUACGAGGAGAUUUUUAUAGUGCUUCCUCCAAUGUGAAGGUAAAAGUUAGAGAUGUAACCACAGAACAAAAUAUUUUUGUUCAAGACACUACAUACCCAGUGAUUCUUGGUCAACCAUAUAUUACAACUGUGAGGAUGGAUACCAAGAUUUUGAAUGACGGAUCAGCAUGUGCAUGUAUUAGAAGUAAAGAUGGAAAAAAGACAAUGUAAUUUUUAAUAAUACUUGCAAACUAUAAGUGCAAUCAGGAUUAUUUACAAAGUGAUUUAUUACUAAGGGUUAGUAAAGAGUUUAUGGAUUUUUGUAGGAUACCACUAUAGAGCAAGAAUAUAGUGGUACAUCAAAGAAGAUACUCUCGCACAAAAAAAAAUAUAUCUUUUGUACACAUGUUAUAGAAUUAUCUAAGAAUAGAUGUGCUAUCUAUAUACAACUUAAUGAUCUACCAAAGUGGAAGAAAAAAGUUGUGCAAAGAACAGAAAAAGACCUAAAAAGAGUAGGUGUACUUGAUAGAGAUGAUAAGAUAGUAGGUGUAUAUAUGGAAAUUGCUUUAGAAGAUUUUAUAGAAAAAAUUUUAGAAUUUGAACAAAGAAAUGAAGAUCAAGUGGUGCAAGUACAUUCAAGAGAGCUCUAUUCAGCUAUAUAAGCAUUUGAAGAUUAUGAAGUCAAAGUUGAAACUAGGUACAAGACUAUGGAGAGGAAAAUAAAACCUGUAGCUAUACUAUUAUCUAGUGAUUCCAAUCAUCAAGUUCAAUAAGCUUUGAAGGAGAAGGGCUUAUGGGAUCCUAAACAAAUUGGCCAUAAAUUUACCAAAAACAUACUCAAUGAGUUGAAAGUAGGAUCUACAAAUUUUUUAUUAUAUAUUGAAGAAAUGGAAUUUAAAAAUAUAUUAAGUACACAUGGAAAGGCUUUUACUUUUGAACCUUUAAAAAUUAGAUGUGUAUCUAAGUAUUGUAGCACAAAUGAUUAUAUUUAUAGUUUCGCAUGUUUCUUGAGAUUUAAGACCAAUUUUGGUGCCUAAAGCCCAUCUACCUAAACUUAUGGAGCUUUUAAAAGAAAAGACACAAAUAAAGAUCUUAGAGCCAUCAUUUACAUCAUAUUCUACUUGUUGGUUACAGUACUAUUGUUCUCAUUAUGUUCAAGCUUCAAUAUACCAAAGUACUUCAACUAAUACAUGUAGGUUCAAACAUGGGAAAAGAUUGGUUAUAUGAAUUGGGUUUGUUAGUCUCACAAUUGACUGUAUUCUAGCUAUCUAAAAUCAAUUAUCAAACUAUAAAAUACCAAGGCUUACUACUUCCAUCUUAAUUCAAAACAUAAUCCAUUCUACGAUUAUCAAUUCAACAAUACUUCCAUAUUCUUAUCAGUUCAUCUUCCACUUACUCUCUUUACAAUUUAUAUAUAUUCAAUUACUGAUCUCCAACUUAUUCUAUUUAAUUUUUUAAUUCAUUACACAGAAUUCAAUAUCUUCACUUAAUACAAUAUAAUUCGAUACUCUCAAUUCUCAAGAUUACAGAUUUUCUCCAAAAUGGUCAGCCCAAAGUCAUAUUCUACAAUAUUCUAAUCACAAUUUCAACAGUACUUCUCUCAAUCACAAUUCUUCAAAAACAAAUAAUAAAAGCAAAGAAAACAAAGAGGUAGCACCAAACUUACUCCGGCUUACGACUCUCACAGUCUAGCUCCGAUCUCCCUUUUCUCAACCUCUUUAUCCCACCAAAAGAUGGACCGUCGGCCAGCAGAUUCCAAAGGUUAUGAACCUUUGAAUUCUUAAUGAUUUAUUCCACUAACAACCUACUGUUACCAACAAAAUUAUCUAACCAUAAGUCUAAUUGUUAAGGUUAUCAAUAACCAACCUGUAAUUUAUCACAAAAUUUAUUUACAUAUUCUACAUAGCUCCACUCCUAAUUGUACAGCGCCCUCACAAACACAUAAUUGUUGCUUUUCUGAAAACUACUUAAUUGAAUUCUAAAAAAUUACUAUUUCUUUUGGUCCAACUACGUAUUCAAAAAGUCUCUUAUUCUUCUCGACUUCCAACAGAUAUCUAACUUCAUUGGCUCCAUAUGGGUAAUGAUUAUCAUAGAAGGUAGUUUCGAUGCGCUAUCGUAUUGUGGUUUGGCUACUAUAUGAAAAUAAUGUAAUUAUGUACUUAAUAUAUAAUUUAUUAAGUAACACUAUGAGGCCAUAUUAGUAGAUUUUAGUUGGUUGUAGAAUAUAAUUUGAUUAUUACUUUGAGAAGAGGUUGUUUAAAAAGAUUACUAUAGAAUUUGUAUAACUUUAAUUUCCUUUUGAUAGUGGCUUUUAAGAUUGGUUUUGGUUGAUAGUAACUUCUAAAUAUUUAGAGUCACCUUUGUUAGACAUUGGUGACAUUUGAAAACUUAUUUUGAUUCUUUUAUUUGGUGUUUAGAGCAUAAAUUAUGUAGAUCUUAUAAGAAAAAGGAUUGAAGAAGGAUUUUGGUAGCAAAGGAAGUAAUUAGGGCACCAAUAUAGAUGAAUGGAGAUGAAUAAUGAAAAUCUCCAUUCCUAUUGGUCAAAAAUCAUGACCAUUCUUGAGGAGGCUACCCGAGGCCAUUUUAGGGAUUAGGGUUAGUUUCUCGAUGCCAUUCGAGUUUUGAAGGCUAGGAUCAGAAGGUUUAGGAUUUUGGCUAUGGUUUUGGUGCACGUUUUGUGUCAUUUGGGGUUUUUAUGAAGAAGUUAUAGGUGCUCAAAGUUAAGGUGUUGAUUUGGGAGCUACUGUCACUCUUUUGGGCAUAACGUACGCGUACGGAUAGCAAUUGAGGAUCGGUUACCGCGACUACAGAGAGAACUUUUGCGGCU